GGCUCAGAUUGAACGCUGGCGGCAUGCCUUACACAUGCAAGUCGAACGGCAGCACGGGGGCAACCCUGGUGGCGAGUGGCGAACGGGUGAGUAAUACAUCGGAACGUGCCCUGUCGUGGGGGAUAACUAGUCGAAAGAUUAGCUAAUACCGCAUACGACCUGAGGGUGAAAGCGGGGGACCGUAAGGCCUCGCGCGAUAGGAGCGGCCGAUGUCUGAUUAGCUAGUUGGUGGGGUAAAGGCCCACCAAGGCGACGAUCAGUAGCUGGUCUGAGAGGACGAUCAGCCACACUGGGACUGAGACACGGCCCAGACUCCUACGGGAGGCAGCAGUGGGGAAUUUUGGACAAUGGGGGCAACCCUGAUCCAGCAAUGCCGCGUGUGUGAAGAAGGCCUUCGGGUUGUAAAGCACUUUUGUCCGGAAAGAAAUCCCCUGGGAUAAUACCUCGGGGGGAUGACGGUACCGGAAGAAUAAGCACCGGCUAACUACGUGCCAGCAGCCGCGGUAAUACGUAGGGUGCGAGCGUUAAUCGGAAUUACUGGGCGUAAAGCGUGCGCAGGCGGUUUGGUAAGACAGGCGUGAAAUCCCCGAGCUCAACUUGGGAAUG
RNAcentral lists this ribosomal RNA (606 nucleotides) under Cupriavidus sp. S4.ACT.016. RNAcentral describes it as "bacterial SSU rRNA". It matches the Rfam family "Bacterial small subunit ribosomal RNA", at positions 21 to 622 of the family's 1533-position model. Lineage: Bacteria; Pseudomonadati; Pseudomonadota; Betaproteobacteria; Burkholderiales; Burkholderiaceae. The record is from RNAcentral.